UGUCGAGUCACACUCGACAUAGGAGUGCAAAGGGUUAAAAGAGAAAGAGGCAGAAAAAACAAGAAGAAAAGUAGGAGAAAAUGGAAAUUAAAGGAGCGAAGAUUAACGCGCGUGAUGUGUGGUGGAGAUUAGGGCGGAGGUCACAGCGGAGGUGAGGAGGUUAAGGGCGUCGCGAGAGAACAGAUACACGCGGAAUUCAGGAGCAGUUCAGGUUAUAUUGCCCUGUUUCGCCACCUAUCCGCGGAAUUUAGUUUCAGAAAUCUGUCACGUGGUUCGGUGAUGGAGUGCGUAGCUAGCUACAAGCGACGACGAGUGUAUUCGUCAAACAUAUUCAACGGGUUCAGUUCAAAUCUAUUUCGAAUCUAUUUCGAAAUAUCGGCAACAGGAAAACUAGUACUCUGUUCGUAGCUUCGAUAAUGCAACAAAAGUAUCAACGCUUGGACCACCAUUUUGCCAACCUAACACUUAUUGAAAUACUUGCGGUCGAUGGUGUAUGUUGGAUCGUUUGAAAAGACGCAACGACGACAUUCCACGGAUGGAAAAGAAGGAGAGUUUACGACUCGGUCGUGCGAUUUGACGAUAUUCCGAGAGAAGUGUGUGACGGACAUAAAUUUCGUCGGCGAGAGAUCGAUAAACGUUGCUUUAUGGUUUCCUUGAUUUCGCUCGUUUACUCUGUGCUCGCGGUGGAACACGAGGAAAGUAAUCGAGAAGGUUUUAUCGUCGACACGGAGGGGGUCCCUUCGUUUCAACGUUCAUUGUUUAAUUGUUCGCGUUUUAUUCGCAGAGAUUCGUAAGAUGGAGAUCCUCCGGCUGCUUUAAAUCAAUAUACACCGUGGCAAUACCGAUAGGAUGAAUACAAUUCAUGUACAGUCGAGCCGCAAGAACUAAAAUCUUCGAAUUACAGAGAUUUCGACUUAUCAAAAUUUCCAGUAAAAGAGAGAUAGCAAAGGAAAAUUCGACAUACAGAAGUUUCAGACGAAGGAAAAAUCCAAGAGUGUUUGUAGAAAACACUGUAAGUGGCAAGCUUGACAAAUUUUGAUUUUUCAUUGGGACAUGUUUUAUAUACCAAUGAGGAUACUGUAGCAUAGAACUUGGGUGCAAUUUCCCUUUCUAAAUGAUUAUUAAUAAUGCCAGAUGAUGGUGUUACAGUCUUUGUAGAAAAAUAUAUGGACAAAUAAACAUUAGUUAAUUGUUUCUACAUUUUUGUCUAUGCUACAAAUAUAAAUGAAUGGAGAUGGCAUGACAGGCUCUUCUACAGAUACACUUUUCUUCCUAAAUUUGGACUAGAUUAUUGCAUAGGUUUUUUAAAAUCUUAUUACAACGUUGUUUUUGUGGAAAAAAUAUGUGGACAAAUAAACAUUAGUUAAUUGUUUCUUGGCUCUUGUCUGUGGCAUUUAUUUAAAUAAAUGGACCUCACAACUAUGAGGUAGCAUGACAGGCUCUUCUACAGAUACACUUUUCUCUUCCAUGAAUUUGGACUAGAUUAAUGCAUAAGUUUCUGUAAAUAAUAGUACAAUGUCGUCUUUGUAAAAAAAAUUUAUAUGGUCAAAUAAACAUUAAUUAAUUAGUUUA
Molecule: long non-coding RNA, 1572 nt
Organism: Bombus terrestris (buff-tailed bumblebee)
Lineage: Eukaryota; Metazoa; Arthropoda; Insecta; Hymenoptera; Apidae
Exons: 2
Source: RefSeq, a predicted model, not a curated record